This 554-nucleotide ribosomal RNA is filed under the name uncultured bacterium. Its description in RNAcentral is "bacterial SSU rRNA". It matches the Rfam family "Archaeal small subunit ribosomal RNA", at positions 724 to 1275 of the family's 1478-position model. The record is from RNAcentral.
AGUGAAUAGAUACCCCGGUAGUCCUAGCCGUAAACGAUACUCGCUAGGUGUCGGCCACGGUGCGACCGUUGUCGGUGCCGUAGGGAAAGCCGUGAAGCGAGCCACCUGGGAAGUACGGCCGCAAGGCUGAAACUUAAAGGAAUUGGCGGGGGAGCACCACAACGGGUGGAGCUUGCGGUUUAAUUGGAUUCAACGCCGGAAAUCUUACCGGGACCGACAGCGAUAUGAAGGCCAGGCUGAAGACCUUGCCGGAUUAGCUGAGAGGUGGUGCAUGGCCGUCGUCAGUUCGUACUGUGAAAGCAUCCUGUUAAGUCAGGCAACGAGCGAGACCCACGCCCACAGUUGCCAGCGUACUCUCCGGAGUGACGGGUACACUGUGGGGACCGCCGCUGCUAAAGCGGAGGAAGGAAUGGGCAACGGUAGGUCAGUAUGCCCCGAAUAUCCCGGGCUACACGCGAGCUACAAUGGUUGGUACAAUGGGUAUCUACCCCGAAAGGGGAUGGAAAUCUCCUAAAUCCAAUCUUAGUUCGGAUUGAGGGCUGCAACUCGCCCUC